Molecule: long non-coding RNA, 1198 nt
Organism: Crotalus tigris (Tiger rattlesnake)
Lineage: Eukaryota; Metazoa; Chordata; Lepidosauria; Squamata; Viperidae
Exons: 3
Source: RefSeq, a predicted model, not a curated record
UGCUUUUACUGUUGCUGAAAUAAUGAUGAUUAUAAACUCCAAAAAGAAAAUUAGCAGCCAGAAUGAAUUUGAAUGACCAAAUGAGAGAAGAGUGCAUCAUAUAUACCCUGAUUCACAAAAGACUGAGAAACAUACAUGCUGGUCCUGAUGCUGGUCCUGAAGAGUCAGUAUUCCCUUUUUGUUUGGGGAGCUGGAAAGGAAUAUCUCACUACUGGAUUUACAAAAAACAUGGGUAAAACUUUUGAAGAAAUCAGAAAUCCAUCAUAAUCUAUUCCAGGAUAAACAAGUUCUACAAAAGCUGAAAGACUGGCAAAUGAAAUAUGAUGUACACCUUUUCGGAUUAUAGCUCACUUUUCCACACAUAAACACAUAUAUAAGGUUGUGUACUGCUUCAGGUUUUAUGCCAAAAGAAUACACAGAAGGCAUGCGUGCAACCAUUGUCUGCAAAUCUUUAAAACAGUUGAGGGUUCUAAUAUUGCUUAGCAAUUGCAGCAGUUAAUUUUGCAAUGACCAUAUGCUCCAAAACUGUUUUUCUAAAUUAAUUCAUGGUUACAUACAUGUUUCUCUUUCCUCUGCUGAGCAAUUCUACUUUGCAACUUGUAUCCCAAAUUUCAGUCUUGUUUGCAGUUGGAUGGCAAUGAGGCAGGACUGAUGUUCUUUAACCUUAAUUGCAGCCAGGCAGAGAAAGCAAGUGUCACUAGUUGGCUCCUAUGAAGAUGGUUCUAUCAGUGUCCACCUGCCUUUUCCAUUUAGAGGCUGAUCCCUUCUCACUAAUCCCCAUGCCUUUUUUCUGCUUUCCCAGAUGCUUGUACCCAAUGGAUGUUUUCACACACAAACGCACACACCCCUCCCAUAACUCUUUACACAAGUACACAUCCUUUCAUUUUUCUCUUAUGGUACCAGCAUAGCUCCAGUGUCACAACAAUCAAAGCAAUAGGAAUCAAGUUGUUCUUUAGCUCCUAUGUUUCCUGUAGUUCCAUGAAAGUUUUCAGGUAAGGAAGAACUGAUAGUUCAGUUUCAAAGGAACAAAGCAGCAAGGUUCCUAUGUUGCAACUUAAAUAUGUUUUUUUUAAAAAAAAAAAAAAAGGCUAGAGAAGAUUUGCAGCACAGAGAGUGAGAAGGUGGGAAAGCAAGGAGAGCGUGUUUCAUUCAACCUGACCAGAAACCAAAAGUGUCCCCACUGGAAAAUCUAUAGUUG